UACGUAGGUGGCGAGCGUUGUCCGGAUUUACUGGGCGUAAAGGGAGCGUAGGCGGACUUUUAAGUGAGAUGUGAAAUACCCGAGCUCAACUUGGGUGCUGCAUUUCAAACUGGAAGUCUAGAGUGCAGGAGAGGAGAAUGGAAUUCCUAGUGUAGCGAUGAAAUGCGUAGAGAUUAGGAAGAACACCAGUGGCGAAGGCGAUUCUCUGGACUGUAACUGACGCUGAGGCUCGAAAGCGUGGGGAACAAACAGGAUUAGAUA
RNAcentral lists this ribosomal RNA (261 nucleotides) under uncultured prokaryote. RNAcentral's name for it is "partial 16S ribosomal RNA". It matches the Rfam family "Bacterial small subunit ribosomal RNA", at positions 524 to 784 of the family's 1533-position model. The record is from RNAcentral.